ACACUGCAGUCGAGCGCAUGAGUUGACUAGCUUGCUCUUUCCCGGUGAAUGGCUGACGGGGGAGUAACACUCUGGGUAACCUGCCCAUUAGAGGGGGAUAAAUUCGGAAACGGAUGCUAAUACCGCAUAGUUUCAAGGAUCGCACGAUUCUUGAAGGAAAGGUGGCUUCAGCUACCACUAAUGGAUGGACCCGCGGCGUAUUAGGUCUUUGGUGAGGAAAAGGCUCACCAAGGCAAUGAUACGUAUCCGACCUGAUAGGGUGAUCGGCCACACUGGAACUGAAACGCAGGCCACACUCCUACAGGAGGCACCAUGAGGGAAUCUUCGACAAUGGACUAAAGUCUGACGGAACAACGCCUCUUGAUUGAAAAAGGUUUUCGGAUCGUAAAACUCUGUUGUUAAAAAAAAACAAGGAUGAGAGUAACUGCUCAUCCCCUGACGGUAUUUAACCAGAAAGCCCCGGCUAACUACGUGCCAGCAGCCGCGGUAAUACGUACGUGGUUAGCGUUGUCCGGAUUUAUUGGGCGUAAAGCGAGCGCAGGCGGUUCUUUAAGUCUGAUGUGAAAGCCCCCGGCUCAACCGGGGAGGGUCAUUGGAAACUGGAGAACUUGAGUGAAUAAGAGGAGAGUGGAAUUCCUCGUGUAACGUUGAAAUGAGUACAUAUGUGGAGGAACACCAUUGGCGAAAGCGACUCUCUGGACGGUCACUGACGCUGAGGCUCGACAGCAUGAGGAGCCCACAGGAUCAGAUACCCUGAUAAUCCACGCCAUACACGAUGAGUGCUAAGUGUUGGAGGGUUUCCGCCCUUCAGAUGCUGCAGCUAACGCAUUGAGCACUCCGCCUGGAGAGUACGGCCAUGAGCUGAAACUCACACGAAUUGACGGGGACCCGCACGAGUGGUGGAGAAUGUGGUUUAAUUACCAUACCACGCGCAUGAACCUUACAGGAUCUUUGACAUACCAUGGAUCGCUCUAUACAUAGACUUUGCUCCUCGGGCACAAUGUGACAUCGUGGUGCUCUGUGUUCGUCGAUCAUGCU
This 1038-nucleotide ribosomal RNA is filed under the name Carnobacterium maltaromaticum. RNAcentral describes it as "bacterial SSU rRNA". It matches the Rfam family "Bacterial small subunit ribosomal RNA", at positions 52 to 1066 of the family's 1533-position model. The record is from RNAcentral. Lineage: Bacteria; Bacillati; Bacillota; Bacilli; Lactobacillales; Carnobacteriaceae.